UGCGGAAGGAUCAUUAGAUAUGAGUAAGGGUGCUCAGCGCCCGACCUCCAACCCUUUGUUGUUAAAACUACCUUGUUGCUUUGGCGGGACCGCUCGGUUCCGAGCCGCUGGGGAUUCGUCCCAGGCGAGCGCCCGCCAGAGUUAAACCAAACUCUUGUUAUUUAAACCGGUCGUCUGAGUUAAAAUUUUGAAUAAAUCAAAACUUUCAACAACGGAUCUCUUGGUUCUCGCAUCGAUGAAGAACGCAGCGAAAUGCGAUAAGUAAUGUGAAUUGCAGAAUUCAGUGAAUCAUCGAAUCUUUGAACGCACAUUGCGCCCCUUGGUAUUCCGAGGGGCAUGCCUGUUCGAGCGUCAUUACACCACUCAAGCUAUGCUUGGUAUUGGGUGCCGUCCUUAGUUGGGCGCGCCUUAAAGACCUCGGCGAGGCCUCACCGGCUUUAGGCGUAGUAGAAUUUAUUCGAACGUCUGUCAAAGGAGAGGACUUCUGCCGACUGAAACCUUUUAUUUUUUCUAGGUUGACCUCGGAUCAGGUAGGGAUACCCUGCUGAACUUAAGCAUAUCAAUAAGCGGAGGAAAGG
RNAcentral lists this ribosomal RNA (578 nucleotides) under Dioscorea japonica (Japanese yam). RNAcentral describes it as "eukaryotic LSU rRNA". The stretch from base 201 to 354 matches the Rfam family "5.8S ribosomal RNA". The record is from RNAcentral. Lineage: Eukaryota; Viridiplantae; Streptophyta; Magnoliopsida; Dioscoreales; Dioscoreaceae.